RNAcentral lists this ribosomal RNA (951 nucleotides) under Triticum aestivum (bread wheat). RNAcentral describes it as "partial small subunit ribosomal RNA". Lineage: Eukaryota; Viridiplantae; Streptophyta; Magnoliopsida; Poales; Poaceae. The record is from RNAcentral.
AUGGAGCAGUUCGAGGGAGAGAGCUGGCGGCCGGAGAACAGGAAGGGGAGUGUCUUCUUCCCGGCGGAGGGCUGGAGGCGCGGCGAGCCGGAGUUGAGGCCUGAGUUCGGCCGGUGUGUGCUCCAGCGCACGCCGGGGAUGUACCGGGUGGAGGAGAAGCUGCGUGGUCGUGCACUGGUGGGUACAGUGGAAGGGCACAGGCCUCCCGUGUCACCGGCACAGGUGGUUGCUGCUUUGGAGUUGCAAUGCGGCCUCUCCCGCGACCACAUCAUGGUCGAGGUAUGUUCCCCUCCGGCGGAUUUUCUUGUGCGGUUCCGUUCCGGCGAGGAUUGCACUCGGGUGCUCAUCUAUCACUCCCGUAAGCUGACCGCCGGCGGAGCGACGAUCCAGUUUACCCGUUGGCGCCAUGGGAUGGGUGGCGAGGCGUCGUCUUUGAAGUUUUUAACUCGGUUGAGCUUAGAUGGGCUGCCGCAAGAAGCAUGGGAGGUUGAGUUUGUUGGCAAGCUCGUUAGCAGUCUCGGUGGCGAUCUCGUUAAGAUGGUGAAGCCCACUGAUCGUUGUUUCAUCAUUGUUGAAGCGUGGAUGAAAAAUCCUAACAAGGUGCCCAAGUUAUAUGAAGUGGAGCUGCCAGAACCUGACCUCCCCCAAGAUUAUCCAAGCUCAGACUCUGACGGGCCAAUUUCACCACCUUGUAGUGACCUGACACUUGAGAAGCCAACAUUUCUACACUUUGUGAAGAUCCAUAUUCUGAAGGUGAUAGAUCGGAGCCCAAUAAUAACAGAGUUGCCGCCUGCUUACGAUUACGAUGAUGAAGCCGAGAGUGCUCGUUGUCACACUUUCAGUUGCUAUCCUGGUACAAUUGAUGGGGCAGAGAGGGCCUACAUUGGAGGUGGGCAUGGAUUUGCAGGUCCAGGGACAGAUGGCCGUGCAGGUGGUCUGUUCAAAAUGUAA